This 254-nucleotide unclassified non-coding RNA is filed under the name Hevea brasiliensis (rubber tree). The record is from RNAcentral. Lineage: Eukaryota; Viridiplantae; Streptophyta; Magnoliopsida; Malpighiales; Euphorbiaceae.
UCACAAGAACCAGAAUAACUCUGGUGGGUAUAGCUUCUCUUCUUGUAAGCGAAGGGUCAAAGGACAAAGCAAAGGAAUCCAAGUAGUGGAAACAACCAAUAAAAAUAACAGAGAGGAUUAAAUAUAAACAAGNGAUAAAAUAAACAAGACAAUCUCUCUUAGGUAAGGCAUAAAUUGCUUUGCUUGGUAGUGGUGCGAGAAAGAGUAAAGAAAAUAAAGAAAGAAAGAGAAUUGGUGGCAGUAAAACAGAACUG